UGCCAGACUCCUACGGGAGGCAGCAGUGGGGGAUAUUGCACAAUGGGGGAAACCCUGAUGCAGCGACGCCGCGUGGGCGAAGAAGUAUUUCGGUAUGUAAAGCCCUAUCAGCAGGGAAGAAGAAAUGACGGUACCUGAGUAAGAAGCACCGGCUAAAUACGUGCCAGCAGCCGCGGUAAUACGUAGGGGGCAAGCGUUAUCCGGAUUUACUGGGUGUAAAGGGAGCGUAGACGGCGAUGCAAGCCAGAUGUGAAAGCCCGGGGCUCAACCCCGGGACUGCAUUUGGAACUGUGUGGCUGGAGUGUCGGAGAGGCAGGCGGAAUUCCUAGUGUAGCGGUGAAAUGCGUAGAUAUUAGGAGGAACACCAGUGGCGAAGGCGGCCUGCUGGACGAUGACUGACGUUGAGGCUCGAAAGCGUGGGGAGCAAACAGGAUUAGAUACCCCGGUACUU
Molecule: ribosomal RNA, 451 nt
Filed under: uncultured bacterium
Lineage: Bacteria
Description: bacterial SSU rRNA
Rfam family: Bacterial small subunit ribosomal RNA
Source: RNAcentral